Molecule: ribosomal RNA, 1513 nt
Filed under: metagenome
Description: bacterial LSU rRNA
Rfam family: Bacterial large subunit ribosomal RNA
Source: RNAcentral
UGAAACAGGUUAAUAUUCCUGUACUUCUGGUUACUGCGAUGGAGGGACGGAGAAGGCUAGGCCAGCUUGGCGUUGGUUGUCCAAGUUUAAGGUGGUAGGCUGAAAUCUUAGGUAAAUCCGGGGUUUCAAGGCCGAGAGCUGAUGACGAGUCGUCUUUUAGAUGACGAAGUGGUUGAUGCCAUGCUUCCAAGAAAAGCUUCUAAGCUUCAGGUAACCAGGAACCGUACCCCAAACCGACACAGGUGGUCGGGUAGAGAAUACCAAGGCGCUUGAGAGAACUCGGGUGAAGGAACUAGGCAAAAUGGCACCGUAACUUCGGGAGAAGGUGCGCCGGCUAGGGUGAAGGAUUUACUCCGUAAGCUCUGGCUGGUCGAAGAUACCAGGCCGCUGCGACUGUUUAUUAAAAACACAGCACUCUGCAAACACGAAAGUGGACGUAUAGGGUGUGACGCCUGCCCGGUGCCGGAAGGUUAAUUGAUGGGGUUAGCGCAAGCGAAGCUCUUGAUCGAAGCCCCGGUAAACGGCGGCCGUAACAUAACGGUCCUAAGGUAGCGAAAUUCCUUGUCGGGUAAGUUCCGACCUGCACGAAUGGCGUAACGAUGGCGGCGCUGUCUCCACCCGAGACUCAGUGAAAUUGAAAUCGCUGUGAAGAUGCAGUGUAUCCGCGGCUAGACGGAAAGACCCCGUGAACCUUUACUGUAGCUUUGCACUGGACUUUGAGCCUGCUUGUGUAGGAUAGGUGGGAGGCUUUGAAGCGUGGACGCCAGUUCGCGUGGAGCCAUCCUUGAAAUACCACCCUGGCAUGCUUGAGGUUCUAACUCUGGUCCGUAAUCCGGAUCGAGGACAGUGUAUGGUGGGCAGUUUGACUGGGGCGGUCUCCUCCUAAAGAGUAACGGAGGAGUACGAAGGUGCGCUCAGACCGGUCGGAAAUCGGUCGCAGAGUAUAAAGGCAAAAGCGCGCUUGACUGCGAGACAGACACGUCGAGCAGGUACGAAAGUAGGUCUUAGUGAUCCGGUGGUUCUGUAUGGAAGGGCCAUCGCUCAACGGAUAAAAGGUACUCCGGGGAUAACAGGCUGAUACCGCCCAAGAGUUCAUAUCGACGGCGAUGUUUGGCACCUCGAUGUCGGCUCAUCACAUCCUGGGGCUGAAGCCGGUCCCAAGGGUAUGGCUGUUCGCCAUUUAAAGUGGUACGCGAGCUGGGUUUAGAACGUCGUGAGACAGUUCGGUCCCUAUCUGCCGUGGACGUUUGAGAUUUGAGAGGGGCUGCUCCUAGUACGAGAGGACCGGAGUGGACGAACCUCUGGUGUUCCGGUUGUCACGCCAGUGGCAUUGCCGGGUAGCUAUGUUCGGAAAAGAUAACCGCUGAAAGCAUCUAAGCGGGAAACUUGCCUCAAGAUGAGAUCUCACUGGGAACUUGAUUCCCCUGAAGGGCCGUCGAAGACUACGACGUUGAUAGGCUGGGUGUGUAAGCGUUGUGAGGCGUUGAGCUAACCAGUACUAAUUGCCCGUGAG